UGGGGUGUAGCCAAGCGGUAAGGCACGGGGUUUUGAUCCCCGCAUCCCAGGUUCGAAUCCUGGCACCCCAGCCA
This 74-nucleotide transfer RNA is filed under the name Gammaproteobacteria bacterium. RNAcentral describes it as "tRNA-Gln". It matches the Rfam family "tRNA". From Rfam's summary of the family: Transfer RNA (tRNA) molecules are approximately 80 nucleotides in length. Their secondary structure includes four short double-helical elements and three loops (D, anti-codon, and T loops). Lineage: Bacteria; Pseudomonadati; Pseudomonadota; Gammaproteobacteria. The record is from RNAcentral. RNAcentral also lists the same sequence under 1 other name.